This 409-nucleotide ribosomal RNA is filed under the name uncultured microorganism. RNAcentral's name for it is "bacterial SSU rRNA". It matches the Rfam family "Bacterial small subunit ribosomal RNA", at positions 509 to 917 of the family's 1533-position model. The record is from RNAcentral.
CAGCAGCCGCGGUAAUACGGAGGGCGCGAGCGUUGUCCGGAUUCACUGGGCGUAAAGCGGGUGUAGGCGGUCGGGUAAGUCGGACGUGAAAGCCCGGGGCUCAACCCCGGAAGGGCGUCCGAAACUGCUCGACUUGAGGGCGGGAGAGGGAGGUGGAAUUCCCGGUGUAGCGGUGAAAUGCGUAGAUAUCGGGAGGAACGCCGGUGGCGAAGGCGGCUUCCUGGCCCGUUACUGACGCUGAGGCACGAAAGCCAGGGGAGCGAACCGGAUUAGAUACCCGGGUAGUCCUGGCUGUAAACCAUGGGCGCUAGGUGUGGGUGGUGGUGAGCCAUCUGUGCCGAAGCUAACGCGUUAAGCGCCCCGCCUGGGGAGUACGGUCGCAAGGCUGAAACUUAAAGGAAUUGGCGGG